This 1601-nucleotide long non-coding RNA is filed under the name Marmota monax (woodchuck). The record is from RNAcentral. Lineage: Eukaryota; Metazoa; Chordata; Mammalia; Rodentia; Sciuridae.
UUUAUUUUUUAGUUUUCGGCGGACACAACAUCUUUGUUUGUAUGUGGUGCUGAGGAUCGAACCCGGGCCGCACGCAUGCCAGCCGAGCACGCUACCGCUUGAGCCACAUCUCCAGCCCAAAAGAAGAACUUUAAAAAGAAAAAUAAUGACAGUUCUCAAAAAUCUGAACAUGACCUACCAUGUGCCAAGCAGUUCUCCUGGGGUAUACUCAAGAGAACUGGAAACAUGUCCACACAAAAUGUCGCCCAGACACUUGGAGCAGCAGCAUUCACAAUAGUCCACCAGCUGAUGGUCAGAGAGGGGACACAGUCCUGCCACACAGUAAAAAGGUCUCUGCCAUAGACGGGGAUGAAGCGCAGCUGCACACCGUGACCUGGUGGACCUGGAAAACCACAGGACAUAAAAGACCAAAGGGGUCCAAGGCCACUGAAAUGAUCCGAGCAGGCAGAGCCACAGCUACAGGAAGUGACCAGGGCCUCAGAGGUGGGGUCUCACUGUUAGAGUCCUGUGGGUGCUGGCUGUGGUGGCCUGUAGUACCAGCACUUGGGAGGCUGGGGGAGAAGGUGCUUGAGCCCAGGAAUCUGAGGCCUGCCUGGGCAGCACCACGAGAUGCCAUCUAAAAAAAACAAAGCACGUAAAUAAAGAAAGGCACAUGGUUUCUAUUUGGGUGAUAAAAAUGCUUUGAAAUUAGAUAGUGGUGGUGGUUGCUCAACCUUGUGAUUAUACUAAAGAUCACUGGAACUUACACUUUAAAGGGAUGAAUUUUAUGCUAUGUGGAUCACAUCUUGAGAGAGAGAGGUGCUUAGACAAGAAUGGGCUGGUUUGUGAGCGGGAAUGAAGGAAAAGGAGCCAGUCCCUAGCACAGAAGGUGGAGGAGACAGCUGCUCGCAACCCCAAGCAGAAAUGUCCCAGAUGACGGCUGCCUGUUGCAUUUCAGCCCUGAGCAAGGCCUACGGGUGGGGUGGCACACCCACAGUAAGUCUCUGCUGGAUUAGGAGGCACCUGGUUAAUCCUUUAAGAACCAAAAGGGCUCAAGGAAGGGACUGAAGGUCUACAGAGUGACUUAAGUGCUCACAGUUAAGUCAAGAAAAACAGCUCUGGUUGUACAACGCCGUAUCAAAUCUGCAGAGUCUGUUCAAAAAAGAUCCAAGGGCAUGGCCACUGGCACGCAGAGCUCUCAAAUCAGAUGGGUUGGAUGUCUGUCAGUCUUGUUGUUUCUUUAAAGCUUUUAUGGUGGAGGAUUGAAGCGUAUACGGAAGCAAAGAGCACAGGUGUGCCCCUUAGCAGGUUCGCUUUCCACAGCAUCAGUUGCCUCAGUCUACUGUGGUUUGAAAAUAUUAAAUGAAAAAUUCCAUAAAUAAGCAAUUCAUAAGUUUUAAAUUGUGUAACAUUCUGAGUAUUGUGAUGAGAUCUCAAGCCAUCCCCACACCCGGCCUGGGACAUGAGUCAUCCCUUGACCCACUGUAUCCAUGCUGUAUACACUAUCCACAUGCUAAGUCACUCAGCACAUGAUACUGGCAAUUUAGAGGUACCAAAGAGGAACCAUAAAGUACUUCCUUUAAUAAGAACUGAGAGAGGUGGGAGGGGGAGGGAGAGAGAGA